GACGAACGCUGGCGGCGUGCUUAACACAUGCAAGUCGAACGGAAAGGCCCUGCUUUUGUGGGGUGCUCGAGUGGCGAACGGGUGAGUAACACGUGAGUAACCUGCCCUUGACUUUGGGAUAACUUCAGGAAACUGGGGCUAAUACCGGAUAGGAGCUCCUGCUGCAUGGUGGGGGUUGGAAAGUUUCGGCGGUUGGGGAUGGACUCGCGGCUUAGCAGCUUGUUGGUGGGGUAGUGGCUUACCAAGGCUUGGACGGGUAGCCGGCCUGAGAGGGUGAACGGCCACAUUGGGACUGAGAUGCGGCCCAGACUCCUACGGGAGGCAGCAGGGGGGAAUAUUGCACAAUGGGCGGAAGCCUGAUGCAGCAACGCCGCGUGCGGGAUGACGGCCUUCGGGUUGUAAACCGCUUUCGCCUGUGACGAAGCGUGAGUGACGGUAAUGGGUAAAGAAGCACCGGCUAUCUACG
RNAcentral lists this ribosomal RNA (466 nucleotides) under uncultured bacterium. Its description in RNAcentral is "partial 16S ribosomal RNA". It matches the Rfam family "Bacterial small subunit ribosomal RNA", at positions 28 to 505 of the family's 1533-position model. The record is from RNAcentral.